UGAGGAAUAUUGCGCAAUGGGCGAAAGCCUGACGCAGCGACGCCGCGUGGGGGAUGAAGGUCUUCGGAUUGUAAACCCCUUUCAGGAGGAAAGAUGGGGUGGGCAACCACCCGGACGGUACCUCCAGAAGAAGCCACGGCUAACUUCGUGCCAGCAGCCGCGGUAAUACGAAGGUGGCGAGCGUUGUUCGGAUUUACUGGGCGUAAAGAGCACGUAGGCGGUUGGGUAAGCCCCUUGGGAAAGCUCCCGGCUUAACCGGGAAAGGUCGAGGGGAACUGCCUAGCUAGAGGACGGGAGAGGAGCGCGGAAUUCUCGGUGUAGCGGUGAAAUGCGUAGAUAUCGGGAAGAAGGCCGGUGGCGAAGGCGGCGCUCUGGAACGUACCUGACGCUGAGGUGCGAAAGCGUGGGGAGCAAACAGGAUUAGAUACCCCCGUAGUCC
RNAcentral lists this ribosomal RNA (439 nucleotides) under uncultured prokaryote. RNAcentral describes it as "bacterial SSU rRNA". It matches the Rfam family "Bacterial small subunit ribosomal RNA", at positions 355 to 796 of the family's 1533-position model. The record is from RNAcentral.